CCUACGGGUGGCUGCAGUGAGGAAUAUUGGUCAAUGGGCGGAAGCCUGAACCAGCCAAGUAGCGUGCAGGAUGACGGCCCUACGGGUUGUAAACUGCUUUUAUACGGGAACAACGCGCCUUACGUGUAGGGCUUUGCGUGUACCGUAUGAAUAAGCACCGGCUAAUUCCGUGCCAGCAGCCGCGGUAAUACGGAGGGUCCGGGCGUUAUCCGGAUUUAUUGGGUUUAAAGGGUGCGCAGGCGGAGGUUCAAGUUUGCGGUAAAAUUUCGGGGCUCACCCCGGCAUUGCCGCGGCAACUGGGGUCCUUGAGUGCGCGGAAAGCAGGCGGAAUGCGUCGUGUAGCGGUGAAAUGCUUAGAUAUGACGAAGAACCCCGAUUACGAAGGCAGCAUGCUGCCGCGCAACUGACGCUGAUGCACGAAAGCGCGGGUAUCGAACAGGAUUAGAUACCCGAGUAGUC
Molecule: ribosomal RNA, 459 nt
Filed under: uncultured bacterium
Lineage: Bacteria
Description: partial 16S ribosomal RNA
Rfam family: Bacterial small subunit ribosomal RNA
Source: RNAcentral